UACGUAGGGACCAAGCGUUGUUCGGAUUUACUGGGCGGAAAGGGCGCGUAGGCGGCAAUUCAAGUCAUCUGUGAAAUCUCCGGGCUUAACUCGGAACGGUCAGAUGAUACUGCUUUGCUCGAGUGCGGAAGGGGCAAUCGGAAUUCUUGGUGUAGCGGUGAAAUGCGUAGAUAUCAAGAGGAACACCUGAGGUGAAGCCGGGUUGCUGGGCCGACACUGACGCUGAAGCGCGAAAGCCAGGGGAGCAAACGGG
This 253-nucleotide ribosomal RNA is filed under the name uncultured bacterium. RNAcentral describes it as "partial 16S ribosomal RNA". It matches the Rfam family "Bacterial small subunit ribosomal RNA", at positions 524 to 776 of the family's 1533-position model. The record is from RNAcentral.